RNAcentral lists this ribosomal RNA (412 nucleotides) under uncultured Pseudomonadota bacterium. Its description in RNAcentral is "bacterial SSU rRNA". It matches the Rfam family "Bacterial small subunit ribosomal RNA", at positions 810 to 1222 of the family's 1533-position model. The record is from RNAcentral. Lineage: Bacteria; Pseudomonadati; Pseudomonadota.
UGUCAACUAGUUGUNGGGNCUUAACNGACUUCGUAGCGCAGNUAACGCGUGAAGUAGACCGCCUGGGGAGUACGGUCGCAAGAUUAAAACUCAAAGGAAUUGACGGGGACCCGCACAAGCGGUGGAUGAUGUGGAUUAAUUCGAUGCAACGCGAAAAACCUUACCUACCCUUGACAUGCCACUAACGAAGCAGAGAUGCGGGGGUGCCCGAAAGGGAAAGUGGACACAGGUGCUGCAUGGCUGUCGUCAGCUCGUGUCGUGAGAUGUUGGGUUAAGUCCCGCAACGAGCGCAACCCUUGUCAUUAAUUGCUAUCAUUAAGGGGCGCACUUUAUUGAGACUGCCGGUGACAAACCGGGGGGAGGGGGGGAUGACGUCAAGGCCUCAUGGCCCUUAUGGGUAGGGCUUCACACG